GUGUGUGUCUGGAAAGUGAGAAAAUGUGAAUCAGAACAACCUAAUAUUCAAAUGAAAUAAUUUAACAUUUUGUAAGAUUGUAAUUAGCCAUCGGUCUGAUGGGGAAUAGUUUUAGCAGAAAUGUCACAUCUAUUCACAAAUGAACCUCCUUUUUUACUCACGCUGUUCCCUGAGCUGUCACACGUACGACUGUUUUGCACGACAUGCAACUUUGCAGCAAAGGUUCAACCUGUUUAUACAUUCAAACAUAAUUAUGAGUGUACAUAGCUAAAUACUGAAUAAAAUUUAUACCAAAAUAUUAAUUGUAAAAAUUAAAAGUCACCUCAUCAAAUUCACAUAAGCACCAUUCAUAUACCUUUGAAUUAUUUUAGAAGUUGUUGAAAUUAGAAAUUCGUGACAUUCAUCAUUCUUUUUCUUUUUUAAGGAAAAGUACCACUAACUUUUUCAUUCAUGCUUUUCAUAUUUUUUUCUUGGUGGCUUUCAAACCUGCAAACUGAAUGAUUUUCACCAGAUAGAGCUACUUUAGAACCAUAUUUAAUUUUUAUUAUUUUACUCUUUCCAAGUAUUUUUACAGUAAUUAUUUAAUCAAAAAUAGUCUAUUUUAUGGAGUACUAUGGUUUAGGUAAAUGGCUGCAGAUUUUGUCCUUUUUUAAUGCAAACUAGUGACUAUAGAUGGCUACAUAGAGGAUCUCCACAAGAUGUUUAUAUCACCUAUAAUUUAAAAAGGUGAUGGCUACAGUUUCUGGGCUGUUUAUUUAUUGCAACAUUUAUAGCCACAGAAUUAAAACGCCAGAUACCAGAAAACUGAGACAGAUGUUCAUGCGUUCAUAGGUUAAACAGGUCAGGCUAAGCAGGCAUAGGAAUUUUUUUAAAAACAUGACACUGACGACUGUUUCAUUGUCCUGCUUGAACCCUGGCUUAUAAUGAACUUGGUCUUUGUUCCGAAUAAGUAAAGACUUGGUCUGACUACAACCUGGUAGCCUCGAUCAUUUCUGACAUUGUUUGAAACACAAAUAAUUGGCCCUAAACUACUCUGUCACCCAAAACACAUUCUGAAAAUGUUUUGGUAUAAAUGGCCUUUUUUAUGCCACUGCAGACACAAGGUAGCCACUCUUCUGCUCUGACUAGUUGGACAAGAUACCUAUAAGGACUUUUUAAAUCAGAGACUGGAGUUGUUGGGUUUAAACAAUGUUUUUCACAUAGUUAACAUGCUGCAAAAGUUUCGUAAACAUACCUUCUGGCAUACUCAGUAGAAAACCACAAGCAAAACACAUCUGCGUUAACAUAUGUUAACUACAAUAUUUUAUUAGACUCUAACCACAGAGGCAAACAGGAUUAGGUUUAGGCUAAAACCACUUUAUUUAGUUUACAUGAAUUUAUUUGAUUUUAACAGAUAACAGGGAUUCCUGUUGACAUUUAGGACAGCUUUAAAACAAACAACAACCUGGAUAAAGUCAGAGACUCACCAAAGAUGUCUAAGUCUACAGGUGAUACCAAAGUCACCCAAGAUAAAAUAAGCAUUUUGUCCACAGCUUUUUGGACAAAAUUUGGAGUCCUUUUAGGGAUUAACUUUCACCAGACCUUCUGCUCAAAUAUCUCCUAAAAUUUAUUGAAUGCAUACUAAGUGUUGCAUGUUAAAUUGCUGUCAAGAUUUCCUUAAGAGUAUAUAUUCUUUAGCUACAAUCGUGUGUAUAAUAAACCAUGAGUCUAAUGUACCAUAAACCCAUAAUUAUAUCGAUUGGAAAUAAACGUUUAACAGCUGAAUUUUCUGACUUUGUACCAUACACUUGAACACUAAAUGACAUUACCAUUAAUGAUGCUUCUUUCUUUGGAUCAAGUCAAGUAGCAAAAUUAAAUACAGAAUAAUCUUGUAGUUUAUAUUCCUGAAACAAUACCUGCACAAACCUGACUAUGCAAGUUAAGGCCUGAACAUUCUCCAAAAGAACAGAGGAAUUAAUUCAACUCAAGGCUACAUAAAUAAAGUUCUUGUUAGCAAAGACAAGUCAUAAUUAUGAAGAAGUAAAGUGGGCCAAACACAAGAAAAAAAUGUCCUGCCCAGAAUGUGCAUCAAGAACAGAAAGACGGCGUUUGGUUUUUGCAGCCUGGGAGAGAAGGACACCUUUCUCUGUUCUUUCAGAGUAUGUAUUGGCUUUUAGUCUAAACAACAGAGCCUAAA
This is a long non-coding RNA of Poecilia latipinna (sailfin molly), 2176 nucleotides long. RefSeq lists it as uncharacterized. Lineage: Eukaryota; Metazoa; Chordata; Actinopteri; Cyprinodontiformes; Poeciliidae. The transcript has 2 exons. The record is from RefSeq and is a predicted model, not a curated record.